GGAUACAAACUAGUUAACUCACCUCCUCAUUACCCAGGUCAUAUUUUUAAGCUUAGGUCCAAAUGUGUGGGAGAGAGAAUGCUGGAAAGAUCUGGAGGUUGGAAGGUUGGAAGGAGUUUUGAAAUGGGAGGGAAUUCAGCCAUUGCUUUCACUCCUCUUCCCGCCUGAGUCCUCAACAAAAGGGACAUUUCCCCUUCUUUUAAAGACUUCCUGAUAAAAGGAGUCUUCAUGGACACCCCCAUAAGCAUAAGGCAGCACAAGGGAGGGAGCUCCGGUGGUGGCGGAGUUGGGACACUCAGGCACAUGGUUGCAGAGGCGCAAAGGUGUGACCGUUCUAGGUGUAUCUUCCACAGGGCCCUCGUGGAAGGGACCAACUGCAUCCCCUAAAACUGCCAGGGCAGCUUCCCAUGAUGCUGGGCUGAGUCCAGAUUUCUAGAUUUGGCUGGUGCAAGCUCCUGGUUUGCUAGAAAAUUGCUGAUGAAAUAGGAGGGUUGUCAGGCCAUGGGACAAAUCUGCCGCUGUCCUCAGGGGUCACCCUGCCUGGCUUUGUGUGCUGACAGUCAUGACCCUUUGGACGUCUGCAUGUUUGUCUCUGGGUGAGUGGCUGUGUUGGCAUUUAGUUUUCAUUUGCUAUAUGAUGAGCAAAGAACCACAAAGAAGUCCUAAACACACCUGGUGCUAAAAAGUGAUUACCCUUGCCCUUGUUUUAGGACUUACAGCUACUUUUUCUUUCUGUAGCUUCCAAAUAUUUUAUUUUUUAUAAUUAAGAAAGUAAAUUUAUAUUAAAUUUCUUUUCUGAGACAGAGUCUCGCUCUGUCACCCAGGCUGGAGUGCUAUGGUGCAAUCUCAGUUCACUGCAACCUCCGCCUCCAGGACUCAAGCCAUCCUCCCACCUCAGCCUCAUGAGUAGCUGGGACCCAGCUCUGCCUGGCUAAAUUUUGUAUUUUUUGUGGAGAUGAGGUUUUUUAUGUUGCGCAGGCUGUUCUUGAACUCCUGGGCUCAAGUGAUCCACGUGUCUUGGCCUCCCAAAAUGCUGUGGGAUUACAGUUUUGAACCACUGUGCCCAGCCUAUGUUAAAAUUAAUUUUUCCAUUUAAAAUGUCGUUAAUUAAAAUUCAUAAAAUUUAUAUCAAAAUCAUAGCCUAGAAUCUCUGCAUAUGUAAGAAUCACUUUUUAAAAAGAUGAUUUAGGAUGUUGAUAGCAUCUUAUGAAUUGUUUAGAGCUGCACUGUCUGACAUGGUAGCCAUUAACCACGUGUGGUCAUCGAGUGCUUGACACGUGGCCAGUAGAAAUUAAGAUGCGCUGUGUAUGUAAAAUACACACCCAAUUUCAAAAACUCAGUACAAGUGAAAAUGUAAGCUAUUUUCGUAAUUUUUGUAUAAUGAUUACAUGUGAAAUGAUAAUAGCUUAUAUAAUAUUAGGUUAAAGAAAGCAUUAGAAUUAAUUUCAUCUGUCUCUUUUCACCUCUUAAUGUGGUUACUAAAAAAUUUUAAAUUACAUAUGUGAGUGUUGUAUAAAGAAGAGAAGGUUAGCAUUCCCCUUGACAAGGAUGGAAGAGGCCUGUACAACACUCAUAUAACUUCGGCAUUGCCACCUUCUUUGUAGCAUCUAACCAUGGUUUUGAGGAUGGAAAAUGAUUGUGUAAUUGGUACGAGGUUUCCUUUGUGAUGAUUAAAAUGUUCUGGAACUAGAUAGUGGUGUCAGUUACACAAUAUUGUGAAUGCACUACAUGCCACUAAUAGUAAAUGUUAUGUAUCUUUUACUGCAAUAAAAAAUUAUGUGUGUCUCACAUUA
Homo sapiens (human) is the source of this 1793-nucleotide RNA transcript. The record is from RefSeq and is marked validated. NCBI's taxonomy places the organism in Eukaryota, Metazoa, Chordata, Mammalia, Primates, Hominidae.